GUUUUUCUGUCUGGUAGAACUGUUUUCGAUACCACUUGUGGCCUUUUAUGAGAAGGCUGGACAGUUUCCUUUGAUACUGUAUCGGCUCCAAACAUAUGCGUUGGAUCGACUGUUUGUAGAGGACAGUCCUACCUAAGGAUGGCGAACUGUAGUUUCUCGACUGGAUCGUCUGGAAAAAACCUUCAGGGUGUAUAGCCCAUGUUACACGGGAGCCGGUUUAGUCCGGUACACAAGGGGAAUUUUGGCCAAGGUCUGCACUAUUCUGGUUUCCGCCGCUAUUUGCAUUCGAGAAAUUGUCGAUCGAAGCAAGGACAGUGUCGCUAAAGACAGUUAACGUUAACAUUCUGUAUCUACACACUGCAACCACAUCAUUGUGUACGCAUUUGAAUCCAAAUGUAACGCUUUGUUGAAAACUGGAACGUUAAUUAUAUUUGCACUUAAAUUCAAAGUCCGUAGAUAUGCACAUGAUAGCUUUUUCCCGCAUUUUUAUCGGAGAGAUCACAUUGCUGAAGUUUAGCAGCUCAUAUGACCUUAUCAAGAAAAAUC
Molecule: long non-coding RNA, 546 nt
Organism: Paramacrobiotus metropolitanus
Lineage: Eukaryota; Metazoa; Tardigrada; Eutardigrada; Parachela; Macrobiotidae
Exons: 4
Source: RefSeq, a predicted model, not a curated record